This is a long non-coding RNA of Falco peregrinus (peregrine falcon), 631 nucleotides long. RefSeq lists it as uncharacterized. Lineage: Eukaryota; Metazoa; Chordata; Aves; Falconiformes; Falconidae. The transcript has 2 exons. The record is from RefSeq and is a predicted model, not a curated record.
CCCCACUGGCACAAAUAGAAAUUUGCGCUGCUGAACUGGAAAAGGAGGAGGAGGAGGGAAAGGGGCGACAGGGAAGGAAGGAGGCAAAUAACGGGAGAGCACUGUGUGAAAGGACAGCAGGUACUAAAGCCUCAAGAAAAAUUGCCUGGAAAAAAAAAAAAAAAAGAUGGUUCAUAUUUCCAAUGAUAACUUCCUUUUAAUUGCACAUUAAAGUCUUGGAUCUACUAUUUUCUUCUAUACACAUUCCAAUGCACCUGACAACUGAAGGAAGGACAGUACUGUCCAGCCAUUGUGUGGGCAAUGUUGUGAAAAAUACCACAAAAGAUUCUGCCAAGCCUCCCUCUCACACAGACCUCUGACACCUGCAUUAUUUGGAACGACUACUUUCUGUAUCAGUGAAUUCCCCCCAGGGACUGAAACAAGAUGAGCAACCAAGAACCUGGCUGCAGAGCAAUGCUGCGGAGAGGAUAGGGAUGCAAUGAUCCUUUCCUACUUAAGGAAGAUGCAGCAGCCCCAUGUUCUAAGGAAGACAAAGAUGGCUUCACACAUCUUCUAAAAAAGUGGACAUUAAGAAAAGUUUGUUAACUAUCCUGUCUACAGUAAUCUAAAAAUAAAAUCUAAAAGGACUGCA